AUUAGCAUUUGGGAUGUCACAAGUUAGAUGGCAUUAAUCCACUCAUAAUCGAUCCCUUCAACCAAGUGUUCACUCGUUAUCUCCAUCCCUCUUUUGACCUCUGAUCUUGUCUGUAUGAGCAUUCAAUAGUUUAUGCACUCUACCCUUUAGCUAUAAGAUACAAUGAUUUUAAAUUACUCAACAUGGAAGAAGUUAGAAGUUAGUCUAACCAUACACUUGCAACAAGAGACAACAAAAAAUGAAGAGAAAUUUCUUUAAGUGAAUCUGUCGAUGAUUAGCCAU
RNAcentral lists this long non-coding RNA (282 nucleotides) under Carica papaya (papaya). RNAcentral's name for it is "long non-coding RNA (CPAP_LNC001123)". The record is from RNAcentral. Lineage: Eukaryota; Viridiplantae; Streptophyta; Magnoliopsida; Brassicales; Caricaceae.